GUUGUCUUCCCCAGCAACAGGCUCGAUGUGACAGCAUCGUCCUUUGUAACGAUCAAGACUGGUAAGUCCAUCAGUCCAAACAGUUGUCCAUGUACCAGUAGAAGAUUCGGCAGCUACUGCAGCCCCUGCUUCUUCGGGCGGAACCCCAGGCUGAGGACUUACUCGGAAUGCUGCCAAGAUAUCAGUAUCCUUAGUUUCAUACUCUAGGGUGUAGUAAGUCAAUUUAUAAUCUUUAACACCAGCUUUAAAUCCAACACCUGCUUUAGUUUCUGUUUGUGGUGACAUAAGUCCCUCCCUAUAACUCUUGAAUUAAGAAUUCUCACAAUAACAGGGUCUACUCGAUGUUAAUUAGGCGUAAAUGAAACUUUAGCAAAAAUCUCGUAAAACAAAAAGGAUAUUCAAUUAAUAUAAUAUCAACUCAUUAAAGAAAAUUGAGGGCAUGCUUAGGUUAAUGAAUAUGUUUCAUUCAUAUAUAAUGCGUACACCCUGUGUAUGUUCUAUCCUAUAGGAAUUCCACUAUAGGAAUUCGAUAGGAAUUGAGUUGUUGUUAUGGUAAGNNNNNNNNNNGGGGGGGGGUAGUCCUAUGCAUUGUGCAUGGUUUACUUAAAUAAAACUUAAAAAUAGAGUGAAUAACCAAGAUUUCUCGCCGACACUCUAAUAAAAAAGAAAUCUAUUCAAUGAAUAGGAUAAGAUCCAUUGAGUUCUCUUCGCAUUCCUUUGUGAAAGAGUAGAAUGAGAAAGCUAAUGAAUCUUAAACCCAUCCAAAUGGGAUAAGAGAAUUCUUAUUAGUCUCUUUCUUUAUCUCAAUUGAAGAAGUAGUUGGAAAAUAAAACAGCAAGUACAAAAAUGAGUAAUAAACCCCAGUAUAGACUGGUACGAUUCAGCGGAAGUUGCGGGUUCGAGCCCCGUCAGUCCCGAACUAGGGUUGAAUGAAUGGAGAAAUUGAUAUUUCCUUUUUCCAUGAAAAAAAGGGGCAGGGAGCAAGAUCAAAUACCCACAGGGCACCCUUAUGAGCCUCGUGGAGAAGCAAUCGCUAGUCCAUGGGGCUCAUACUUCAGCGCUGCAGCGCUUGGUACUCGGACCUCGGCUCGAGGCAUUUUCUCUACCCCUUCUUACCCUGAAAAAGCAGGGUCACCUUGUGUCCUUAAACCUAUAACCAUCUUUCGGCUGUGUAUGAAUCACUCACCUAUUCUUCCGAAUUAUAUGUAUCUGCGAGAUUAAUUUUUGGUUUCGAUGUGCAAAAACAAAUGAAAUGAAAAUGAAUUGAUAAAACAUUCCUAAAAAAAUUCUGUCACUUAUACUUUAUGUUAUGAUAUUCUAAUCAGAUUGGAUGGCAAAGAGUAAAGAAGGCAAUGCUUUUUUUUCAUUUUUGAUCUGUAAAUGGAGUUGUUAAUGAAUAUGCUUCAUUCGCUGACUCUAUUCCAUUCCCUGACCUUCUUUCUCCAAUCUUGGAUUAGGGAAGAAGGAGAUAUUCGUGACUACUGGCGAUUUCAUUAUGGGGCAGCUCAUGAUCUUAGGAAUUCUUCUAUAAUUUAAAUGACUCAAUAAAAGCUUUUUUUUAUUCUUUUAGUUACUGAUUAUUAUUUUUGGAUUUCACUCCACCCGUGGUUGGGAACUAGUAAUUCGUUGGGUCUACAACGAUUUUGGAUGGGCUCCUAACGAGCUUAUUUUCACUAUUUUUGUUUGUAGUUUUCCAGUAAUUCUAGAUACAUGUUUGAAAUUUUGGGUCGUGGCAAUUCCACCCAGAAGGUAAUGGGUUACUCCUACAGCGCGUCCUUGUAUAAUGCUCAAGGCUCUAGGCUGAGUAGCAGGAGCAACUUUUAAUUUGUUAUGAGCCCAAACGAUAGAUUCAAUGAGUUCUUGCCAAUAACCACGGCCGCUGGUUUCAUGUUACGCCAAUUUGAAUUUGCUCGGUCUGUUCAAUUGCGGCCUUAUAAUGCAAUCUCAUUAUCUGGUCCAAUUGCUGUUUUUGUAAUCGAUCUUAUUGCAAAACCAAUGUCUUACUUCAUAGAUUCGAGAGAAUAGGAGAACAGUAGCCUGACAAACAGUCGGUUCAGUCCGAUUCAGGUGCCAAUCUGAUAUUAUAGUGCCAGUGUAGAUAGAAAUUCCCUUAUGAUCUAAUUCUGAGCGGUAGUAAAUACCAGGACGUAGCAAUAUUUGAUUGAUCACAAUUCGGUGUCUUCCCCAGCAACAGGCUCGAUGUGAUAGCAUCGUCCUUUGUAACGAUCAAGACCGGUAAUUCCAUCAGUCCAAACAGUUGUCCAUGUACCAGUAGAAGAUUCGGCAGCUACUGCAGCCCCUGCUUCUUCGGGCAGAGGGAAUUUCCGGUGGAGCGGUGAAAUGCAUGGAGAUCGGAAAGAACACCAACGGCGAAGACUUAAAGAUAUUUUGGAGGCUCACAAGGGCCCAUUUACAGGACAAGGCGACCUUCAACAAAAGGGUACCUGUACCCGAAACCGACACAGGAGGGUAGGUAGAGAAUACCUAGGGGCGCGAGACAACUCUCUCUAAGGA
RNAcentral lists this long non-coding RNA (2514 nucleotides) under Triticum aestivum (bread wheat). RNAcentral describes it as "long non-coding RNA (TAES_LNC019705)". Lineage: Eukaryota; Viridiplantae; Streptophyta; Magnoliopsida; Poales; Poaceae. The record is from RNAcentral.